RNAcentral lists this ribosomal RNA (253 nucleotides) under uncultured bacterium. Its description in RNAcentral is "partial 16S ribosomal RNA". It matches the Rfam family "Bacterial small subunit ribosomal RNA", at positions 524 to 776 of the family's 1533-position model. The record is from RNAcentral.
UACAGAGGUGGCAAGCGUUGUUCGGAAUUACUGGGCGUAAAGGGUGCGUAGGCGGGUCUUUAAGUCAGGGGGGAAAUCCUGGAGCUCAACUCCAGAACUGCCUUUGAUACUGAAGAUCUUGAGUUCGGGAGAGGUGAGUGGAACUGCGAGUGUAGAGGUGAAAUUCGUAGAUAUUCGCAAGAACACCAGUGGCGAAGGCGGCUCACUGGCCCGAUACUGACGCUGAGGCACGAAAGCGUGGGGAGCAAACAGG